UACGUAGGGGCUAGCGUUGUCCGGAAUUACUGGGCGUAAAGGGCGCGCAGGCUGUUAUGCGAGUCUGCUGUGAAAUGUACCGGCUCAACCGGUGCCUUGCGGCGGAUACUGCAUAGCUGGAGUACUGGAGAGGGAAGUGGAAUUCCCGGUGUAGCGGUGAAAUGCAUAGAUAUCGGGAGGAACACCGGUGGCGAAGGCGGCUUUCUGGCCAGUUACUGACGCUCAUGCGCGAAAGCUGGGGUAGCGAACCGGAUUAGAUACCCCGGUA
Molecule: ribosomal RNA, 268 nt
Filed under: uncultured prokaryote
Description: partial 16S ribosomal RNA
Rfam family: Bacterial small subunit ribosomal RNA
Source: RNAcentral